GCAUAUCAAUAAGCGGAGGAAAAGAAACCAACAGGGAUUGCCUCAGUAACGGCGAGUGAAGCGGCAACAGCUCAAAUUUGAAAUCUGGCCCUUUCAGGGUCCGAGUUGUAAUUUGUAGAGGAUGUUUCGGGUGUGGCUCCGGUCUAAGUUCCUUGGAACAGGACGUCAUAGAGGGUGAGAAUCCCGUAUGUGACUGGUAGCCUAUGCCCAUGUGAAACUCCUUCGACGAGUCGAGUUGUUUGGGAAUGCAGCUCAAAAUGGGUGGUAAAUUUCAUCUAAAGCUAAAUAUUGGCCAGAGACCGAUAGCGCACAAGUAGAGUGAUCGAAAGAUGAAAAGCACUUUGGAAAGAGAGUUAAACAGUACGUGAAAUUGUUGAAAGGGAAGCGCUUGCAACCAGACUUGCAUGUAGCUGAUCAACCGGUGUUCUCACCGGUGCACUCAGUUGCGUUCAGGCCAGCAUCGGUUUCGACGGUUGGAUAAAGGCCUUGGGAAUGUAGCUCCUCUCGGGGAGUGUUAUAGCCCAGGGUGCAAUGCAGCCUGUUGGGACCGAGGACCGCGCUUCGGCUAGGAUGCUGGCGUAAUGGUUGUAAGCGACCCGUCUUGAAACACGGACCAAGGAGUCUAACAUCUAUGCGAGUGUUUGGGUGUCAAACCCAUACGCGUAAUGAAAGUGAACGGAGGUGAGAACCCUUAAGGGUGCAUCAUCGACCGAUCCUGAUGUCUUCGGAUGGAUUUGAGUAAGAGCAUAGCUGUUGGGACCCGAAAGAUGGUGAACUAUGCCUGAAUAGGGUGAAGCCAGAGGAAACUCUGGUGGAGGCUCGCAGCGGUUCUGACGUGCAAAUCGAUCGUCAAAUUUGGGUAUAGGGGCGAAAGACUAAUCGAACCAUCUAGUAGCUGGUUCCUGCCGAU
This 910-nucleotide ribosomal RNA is filed under the name Phacidiopycnis washingtonensis. RNAcentral describes it as "eukaryotic LSU rRNA". It matches the Rfam family "Eukaryotic large subunit ribosomal RNA", at positions 38 to 965 of the family's 3401-position model. Lineage: Eukaryota; Fungi; Ascomycota; Leotiomycetes; Phacidiales; Phacidiaceae. The record is from RNAcentral.